RNAcentral lists this transfer RNA (69 nucleotides) under Ictidomys tridecemlineatus (thirteen-lined ground squirrel). RNAcentral describes it as "Spermophilus tridecemlineatus (thirteen-lined ground squirrel) tRNA". It matches the Rfam family "tRNA". From Rfam's summary of the family: Transfer RNA (tRNA) molecules are approximately 80 nucleotides in length. Their secondary structure includes four short double-helical elements and three loops (D, anti-codon, and T loops). The record is from Rfam by way of RNAcentral. Lineage: Eukaryota; Metazoa; Chordata; Mammalia; Rodentia; Sciuridae.
GGGUGUAACUCAGUGGUAGAGUACUUGGCUAGCAUGCCCAGCCCCUGGGUUCAAUCCCCAGCACCACCA